Molecule: ribosomal RNA, 374 nt
Filed under: uncultured prokaryote
Description: bacterial SSU rRNA
Rfam family: Bacterial small subunit ribosomal RNA
Source: RNAcentral
UACAGAGGUCCCAAGCGUUGUUCGGAUUUACUGGGCGUAAAGGGUGCGUAGGCGGUGGGGUAAGUUUGAGGUGAAAGCUCCGGGCUCAACCCGGAAAAUGCCUUGAAUACUAUCCGGCUAGAGGGUUGGAGGGGAGACUGGAAUUCUCGGUGUAGCAGUGAAAUGCGUAGAUCUCGAGAGGAACACCAGUGGCGAAGGCGGGUCUCUGGACAACACCUGACGCUGAGGCACGAAAGCCAGGGGAGCAAACGGGAUUAGAUACCCCGGUAGUCCUGGCCCUAAACGGUGCGUACUUGCUGUAAGCGGAUUCGACCCCGCUUGUGGCGCAGUUAACACGAUAAGUACGCCGCCUGGGAAGUACGGUCGCAAGAUUA